UAGUAUUGCCAGCUAUUCUGUCUUCUGAAAAAGAAAAGUGCGUUUUUUAAAUAAUACUUUAUAAAAACAAUUUAAAAAUUUUUAAAACUGGUUUUAUCAUUUCAAGCUUUCUAUGAUCUAAAAAAAAUUGUUACUUAUAACAUCUAUUAAUAAGUGCAUUAAACCAUUUACAAGCUCAAUAUUUCAAAAAUGUGCUAACAAGACUUACUGAUGGACUGGGCAAUAGCAGCUUC
Biomphalaria pfeifferi is the source of this 233-nucleotide non-coding RNA. Lineage: Eukaryota; Metazoa; Mollusca; Gastropoda; Planorbidae. The record is from the annotation of a GenBank genome assembly.